CCUACGGGAGGCAGCAGUGAGGAAUAUUGGUCAAUGGGCGCAAGCCUGAACCAGCCAAGCCGCGUGAAGGAUGACGGCCCUACGGGUCGUAAACUUCUUUUAUAGGGGAAUAAAAGGAGGCACGUGUUCAUUCCUGAAUGUAUUCUAAGAACAAGCAACGGCUAACUCCGUGCCAGCAGCCGCGGGAAUACGGAGGAUGCGAGCGUUAUCCGGAUUUAUUGGGUUUAAAGGGAGCGUAGAUGGGUUGUUAAGUCAGAUGUGAAAGUCUGUGGCUUAACCGUAGAAUUGCAAUUGAUACUGGCAGCCUUGAGUACAGUUGAGGAAGGCGGAAUUCGUGGUGUAGCGGUGAAAUGCGUAGAUAUCACGAAGAACCCCGAUUGCGAAGGCAGCCUAC
RNAcentral lists this ribosomal RNA (394 nucleotides) under uncultured bacterium. Its description in RNAcentral is "partial 16S ribosomal RNA". It matches the Rfam family "Bacterial small subunit ribosomal RNA", at positions 338 to 729 of the family's 1533-position model. The record is from RNAcentral.